UAACAACUCUCNGCAACGGAUAUCUUGGCUC
This 31-nucleotide ribosomal RNA is filed under the name Campylopus lamellatus. Its description in RNAcentral is "partial 5.8S ribosomal RNA". Lineage: Eukaryota; Viridiplantae; Streptophyta; Bryopsida; Dicranales; Leucobryaceae. The record is from RNAcentral.